UACGAAGGGGGCUAGCGUUGUUCGGAUUUACUGGGCGUAAAGCGCACGUAGGCGGAUUGUUAAGUCAGGGGUGAAAUCCCGGAGCUCAACUCCGGAACUGCCUUUGAUACUGGCAAUCUAGAGUCCGGAAGAGGUGAGUGGAACUCCUAGUGUAGAGGUGGAAUUCGUAGAUAUUAGGAAGAACACCAGUGGCGAAGGCGGCUCACUGGUCCGGCACUGACGCUGAGGUGCGAAAGCGUGGGGAGCAA
Molecule: ribosomal RNA, 248 nt
Filed under: uncultured bacterium
Lineage: Bacteria
Description: partial 16S ribosomal RNA
Rfam family: Bacterial small subunit ribosomal RNA
Source: RNAcentral